AACUUAGUGGCUCAGAACUAGCCAACCAUGAGGUAUUGCAUGAAACAUGCCAAUGUAGCCAACCAUAAGGUGUCAAUAUGCAUGUGAAGCUAAUGGCCUAAGCUAAGUGUGUGAGUAACUUGUAGCUCACAGUAGGCUGAGCAUGUAACAUUGGGUAGGAAGGAACAAGCUCAACUAGUCAGUAACUUGGCCAACUCGAAGGAAACCCCACCAAGUGGGCAAUGUGAG
RNAcentral lists this long non-coding RNA (228 nucleotides) under Lupinus angustifolius (narrow-leaved blue lupine). RNAcentral describes it as "long non-coding RNA (LANG_LNC003218)". Lineage: Eukaryota; Viridiplantae; Streptophyta; Magnoliopsida; Fabales; Fabaceae. The record is from RNAcentral.